AUGCUCACCACAGGGGCACAUACACUAAAAUUGCAACAACACAUAGAAGAUUGACAUGCCCCCUGCACAAAAAGGACACACAAAUUUAUGAAGUGUUCCAUAUUUUU
Meriones unguiculatus (Mongolian gerbil) is the source of this 107-nucleotide small nuclear RNA. The record is from Ensembl. Lineage: Eukaryota; Metazoa; Chordata; Mammalia; Rodentia; Muridae.